Molecule: ribosomal RNA, 326 nt
Filed under: uncultured eukaryote
Lineage: Eukaryota
Description: partial 18S ribosomal RNA
Rfam family: Eukaryotic small subunit ribosomal RNA
Source: RNAcentral
CCCUUAGAUGUUCUGGGCUGCACGCGCGCUACACUGAUGCACUCAACGAGUUUACGACCUUGCCCGAUAGGGUUGGGUAAUCUUUUUAAAAUGCAUCGUGAUGGGGAUAGAUUAUUGCAAUUGUUAAUCUUCAACGAGGAAUUCCUAGUAAGCGCGAGUCAUCAGCUCGUGCUGAUUACGUCCCUGCCCUUUGUACACACCGCCCGUCGCUCCUACCGAUUGAGUGCUCAGGUGAAUAAUUCGGACUGCAGCAAUGUUUGGAUCCCGAACGUUGCAGCGGAAAGUUUAGUGAACCUUAUCACUUAGAGGAAGGAGAAGUCGUAACA